This is an RNA transcript of Papaver somniferum (opium poppy), 1971 nucleotides long. RefSeq lists it as uncharacterized. The record is from RefSeq and is a predicted model, not a curated record. NCBI's taxonomy places the organism in Eukaryota, Viridiplantae, Streptophyta, Magnoliopsida, Ranunculales, Papaveraceae. The transcript is spliced from 4 exons.
GUUUCUUCAAACCUAUUUCUGUUUUUUCGCUCAGCUGAAGAUGACUCCCACGGCUAGUCCUUAUCACCCGUAUCAUUUGGCUUUCAGUUUGCGUUUAUCAAAAACAUUGAAAACCCUAACCGUAUCUCUCUGAAAACCAACCUACUGGAAAAAUCAUUCCACAUACAAGCUUUGCAUCUUCUUUUUUUCAAUCUGUAGCAUACUAUGAACGAUCGAUCUUCUUUUCUCCUUCUCUUCUUUUAUUCUCCUUGUCGUUUCCACAGCUUGCUCCACAACUAGCAAAACCACCACCUCCAUCACCACGAGCAACAUCACCAGAUGUGUUUGUUUUAAGGACUGGGAUUGAUUCCUUCAGAAAUUUGAGAUAUGGCAGGAAAAUGUAAAGGGUCUUUUUCAACUUUCAGAAAUGUAGAUGGAAGAAUAGUUACUUCUGCAGAUGAUGAGGUAAUGGAGGUAGACGAUGUUCUUCUCGAUAUGUAUGUAUCCAUUUUUCCAAAUUUCGUUCUCUUUGUUAACUGAUUUUCCUAUUUGAUUUCAUUCGAUUGAUUUGGUUUUUUAGUUGUACUGUUUCGUUUUGAUGGUGUUGUAAUUCUAGAAAGGUGAAACUGUACCUAUUGCAUAGAUGGAAAUCAAUGGAAAAGAUGAGGAGUUGUAAUUGUGAAGAUUCUUAAACAUAAACAGAGUGAGAUAGUUCGUUUGGUUAUAAGACAAUCUAAGGCAUUGUAGAUCUGUGCUAGUCAUAGAGGUUUUUCUUUUUUUUCUUUUUGAAUUGAUUUUGGGCUUAUUUGAGGUUUUGAUUUAAUUUGUUAGAUUUGGUUAAGGGGUUUCUUAUGAUUUUGAUUUGUAGUGUUACCAACAAUUUCUAUUCAACAACAUGCUAUGGUGUGUGUUGCACACUACUGAUUUCUCUGAUGGUGAAUUGAAAGAAGAGUUGUUCUGUGUUCGAAUUGCAUCCAUUGAGAUACCGGAAUACACCUAAGUUGCUGAAUCAAUGUUUGGGGUACUGUUUCCUUCUUUGGUGCUGGUGUAUCUUAUUUGGAAACAAAGCUAGAUGCAGGAAGACAGAAUUGACACAGGAAGACAUGAUCAGACCUCCACUAGCUCUUGUCAGCAGGUCAAUCCUUCUAUAAAUUUUAUGUAAUCAAUAGGAGUUCAAUGUCCCUAUUCCACAAUAUGUUUUAUGAGAGUAGGUUAAUUCCAAAAAGGAGUUCAAUGUCCCUAUUCAUGUGCGCAGCUGUACAAAUCUGGACCAUUCACAAAUGAAUUUACGAUCAUGUAUGCAUAAUUUCUUAGCCCCCUCUAGUUGUCAUAAUUCUACUAGGCGAACUACAUAAAAGUUUAAAUACUUCUCUUACUUGGAAAAUUGAAUCCUCCUGUGAGUCUAUGAGCCACAGGGGAGGAGUACAAGUUUGUCUCCCUUUCUAGCUCGCACCUAGAUUGUUUCCACAUCUUCAUUGUCUCUCUCAAAAGCUGUUCUUCUUGUUUUCGUUAUAUACCUUUCAUGCUGUAACAUUUUAUAGAUUUGAUGUUUGUUGGGAGUGUUUUUAAACUAACUUGGCAUCUGCGUACACAAGAUACUGGGAUUACUCCCCUUGCGUAUUGCUUUUUGUCUUUGAGGAACUGAAGGGAGCUGUUGCAAGUGCUUUUGUUGAUUUUACUACGUCACCCAGCAGUGCCGAAUAGAACUGCCUCGUUAACGAAAUAGUGGAUCCAAGUGGGAUGUUAUACGAUGUAUAUGGAAUACUUCGGAGAUGUUUCCCUAGGUCAUAUGAUUAGGUGGCGAAAAACUUCUGUAAAAAGGAGAGACCUAACUAAAAUGCAGAUUAUGGCAGUUUUAGUAGAUUGAAUGUUUCAGUUCAGAUUUUGAAGUGUGAUUUUGAGUUGUAAUUGCAAAAUGAAUGUAUCCUCUUUUGGUUGUAAUGUAAAACUGUGUUCAUCUUUUAAAUGCAAUGUAUACCUGAUUCCAUAUUC